This 734-nucleotide ribosomal RNA is filed under the name uncultured Glomus. RNAcentral describes it as "SSU rRNA". It matches the Rfam family "Eukaryotic small subunit ribosomal RNA", at positions 364 to 1100 of the family's 1831-position model. The record is from RNAcentral. Lineage: Eukaryota; Fungi; Glomeromycota; Glomeromycetes; Glomerales; Glomeraceae.
GGGGUGUUAGGGCACGACACCGGAGAGGGAGCCUGAGAAACGGCUACCACAUCCAAGGAUGGCAGCAGGCGCGCAAAUUACCCAAUCCCGACACGGGGAGGUAGUGACAAUAAAUAACAAUACGGGGUUCUUUCGGAUCUCGUAAUUGGAAUGAGUACAAUUUAAAUCUCUUAACGAGGAACAAUUGGAGGGCAAGUCUGGUGCCAGCAGCCGGGGUAAUUCCAGCUCCAAUAGCGUAUAUUAAAGUUGUUGCAGUUAAAAAGCUCGUAGUUGAAUUUCGGGAUCAAAUUGUCGGUCGUGCUUCGGUACGCACUGGCAUUAUUGGUUUCUACCUUCUGAAGAACCGCGAUGUCAUUAAUUUGGUGUCGUGGGGAAUCAGGACUGUUGCUUUGAAAAAAUUAGAGUGUUUAAAGCAGGCGCACGCUUGAAUACAUUAGCAUGGAAUAAUGAAAUAGGACGUUUGAUUCUAUUUUGUUGGUUUCUAGGAUCGACGUAAUGAUUAAUAGGGAUAGUUGGGGGCAUUAGUAUUCAAUUGUCAGAGGUGAAAUUCUUGGAUUUAUUGAAGACUAACUACUGCGAAAGCAUUUGCCAAGGAUGUUUUCAUUAAUCAAGAACGAAAGUUAGGGGAUCGAAGACGAUCAGAUACCGUCGUAGUCUUAACCAUAAACUAUGCCGACUAGGGAUCGGAUGAUGUUAAUUUUAUAAUGACUCAUUCGGCGCCUUACGGGAAACCA